RNAcentral lists this ribosomal RNA (505 nucleotides) under uncultured bacterium. RNAcentral describes it as "partial 16S ribosomal RNA". It matches the Rfam family "Bacterial small subunit ribosomal RNA", at positions 30 to 523 of the family's 1533-position model. The record is from RNAcentral.
AUUGAACGCUGGCGGCAUGCCUUACACAUGCAAGUCGAACGGCAGCAUGGAGAGCUUGCUCUCUGAUGGCGAGUGGCGAACGGGUGAGUAACGCAUCGGAACGUACCGUGUAAUGGGGGAUAACGUAGCGAAAGUUACGCUAAUACCGCAUACGACCUGAGGGUGAAAGCAGGGGGUCGCAAGACCUUCCGUUAUACGAGCGGCCGAUGUCAGAUUAGCUAGUUGGUGAGGUAAAGGCUCACCAAGGCGACGAUCGGUAGCGGGUCUGAGAGGAUGAUCCGCCACACUGGGACUGGAACACGGCCCAGACUCCUACGGGAGGCAGCAGUGGGGAAUAUUGGACAAUGGGGGGAACCCUGAUCCAGCCAUGCCGCGUGUGUGAAGAAGGCCUUAUGGUUGUAAAGCACUUUAAGCGAGGAGGAGGCUCUUUUGGUUAAUACCCAAGAUGAGUGGACGUUACUCGCAGAAUAAGCACCGGCUAACUCUGUGCCAGCCGCCGCAGUAA